UACAGAGGUCCCGAGCGUUUGUUCGGAUUCACUGGGCGUAAAGGGUGCGUAGGUGGUGGGGUAAGUCGGAUGUGAAAGCUCGGAGCUCAACUCCGAAAUGGCAUUGGAAACUACCCUGCUGGAGGUUUGGAGGGGGGACUGGAAUACUUGGUGUAGCAGUGAAAUGCGUAGAUAUCAAGUGGAACACCAGUGGCGAAGGCGAGUCCCUGGACAAAACCUGACACUGAGGCACGAAAGCUAGGGGAGCAAACAGG
This 254-nucleotide ribosomal RNA is filed under the name uncultured bacterium. RNAcentral's name for it is "partial 16S ribosomal RNA". It matches the Rfam family "Bacterial small subunit ribosomal RNA", at positions 524 to 776 of the family's 1533-position model. The record is from RNAcentral.